AGGUCAGUAGUUCAAGGGCAGAACGGUGGUCUCCAAAACCGCAUGUUGGGGGUUCGAGUCCCUCCUGGCCUG
RNAcentral lists this transfer RNA (72 nucleotides) under Borrelia parkeri. RNAcentral describes it as "tRNA-Trp". It matches the Rfam family "tRNA". Rfam says of the family: Transfer RNA (tRNA) molecules are approximately 80 nucleotides in length. Their secondary structure includes four short double-helical elements and three loops (D, anti-codon, and T loops). Further hydrogen bonds mediate the characteristic L-shaped molecular structure. tRNAs have two regions of fundamental functional importance: the anti-codon, which is responsible for specific mRNA codon recognition, and the 3' end, to which the tRNAs corresponding amino acid is attached (by aminoacyl-tRNA synthetases). tRNAs cope with the degeneracy of the genetic code in two manners: having more than one tRNA (with a specific anti-codon) for a particular amino acid; and 'wobble' base-pairing, i.e. permitting non-standard base-pairing at the 3rd anti-codon position. The record is from RNAcentral. Lineage: Bacteria; Pseudomonadati; Spirochaetota; Spirochaetia; Spirochaetales; Borreliaceae. RNAcentral also lists the same sequence under 2 other names.